AUGACAUCCUGUAUGCGCUUGGACACCCAGCAGAUUGAAAAUAUAGAAGCAAAGAUAUCCAAUACGAGGCCACGAUGCCCGACAGAGAUGCAGCCAAUACGUGCCCAAUCUUUAUUUCUUGAUGUUGGAACAACAAAUAAGAGCAUGUUCAUGUUUACUUAUUAUGUUUUUUUUCGAGAAAUUUUGGGGAUUUACAAGCUGAAAUUAUUGACUGUCUGA
Molecule: ribosomal RNA, 219 nt
Filed under: Triticum aestivum (bread wheat)
Lineage: Eukaryota; Viridiplantae; Streptophyta; Magnoliopsida; Poales; Poaceae
Description: partial small subunit ribosomal RNA
Source: RNAcentral